RNAcentral lists this ribosomal RNA (253 nucleotides) under uncultured bacterium. Its description in RNAcentral is "partial 16S ribosomal RNA". It matches the Rfam family "Bacterial small subunit ribosomal RNA", at positions 524 to 776 of the family's 1533-position model. The record is from RNAcentral.
UACAGAGGGGGCAAGCGUUAUUCGGAAUUAUUGGGCGUAAAGGGCGCGUAGGCGGCUUUUCAAGUGACGGGUGAAAUCCCUCGGCUUAACCGAGGAACUGCCUGUCAGACUGGAAGGCUUGAGACCGGGAGAGGUGAGUGGAAUUCCCAGUGUAGCGGUGAAAUGCGUGGAUAUUGGGAGGAACACCAGUGGCGAAGGCGGCUCACUGGACCGGAACUGACGCUGAGGCGCGAAAGCGUGGGGAGCAAACAGG